UACGUAGGGUGCAAGCGUUAAUCGGAAUUACUGGGCGUAAAGCGUGCGCAGGCGGUGAUGUAAGACAGUUGUGAAAUCCCCGGGCUCAACCUGGGAACUGCAUCUGUGACUGCAUAGCUAGAGUACGGUAGAGGGGGAUGGAAUUCCGCGUGUAGCAGUGAAAUGCGUAGAUAUGCGGAGGAACACCGAUGGCGAAGGCAAUCCCCUGGACCUGUACUGACGCUCAUGCACGAAAGCGUGGGGAGCAAACAGG
Molecule: ribosomal RNA, 253 nt
Filed under: uncultured bacterium
Lineage: Bacteria
Description: partial 16S ribosomal RNA
Rfam family: Bacterial small subunit ribosomal RNA
Source: RNAcentral